GUGGGGAAUAUUGGGCAAUGGAGGAAACUCUUACCCAGCAAUGCCGCGUGAGUGAUGAAGGUCUUAUGGAUUGUAAAGCUCUUUGAUUGGGGACGAAUAAAUGACGGUACCCAAAGAACAAGCCCCGGCUAACUAUGUGCCAGCAGCCGCGGUAAUACAUAGGGGGCGAGCGUUGUCCGGAAUGACUGGGCGUAAAGGGUGUGUAGGCGGUUUAUCAAGUUAGAAGUGUAAUACCUAGGGCUUAACUCAGGUGCUGCUUCUAAAACUGAUAGACUUGAGUGUGGGAGAGGAUGAUGGAAUUCCUAGUGUAGCGGUGGAAUGCAUAGAUAUUAGGAGGAACACCAGAGGCGAAGGCGAUCGUCUGGACCAUAACUGACGCUGAGGCACGAAAGCGUGGGGAGCAAACAGGAUUAGAAACCCGGGUAGUCC
RNAcentral lists this ribosomal RNA (429 nucleotides) under uncultured bacterium. RNAcentral describes it as "partial 16S ribosomal RNA". It matches the Rfam family "Bacterial small subunit ribosomal RNA", at positions 354 to 796 of the family's 1533-position model. The record is from RNAcentral.